RNAcentral lists this unclassified non-coding RNA (219 nucleotides) under uncultured Entoloma. RNAcentral's name for it is "sequence contains ITS2". Lineage: Eukaryota; Fungi; Basidiomycota; Agaricomycetes; Agaricales; Entolomataceae. The record is from RNAcentral.
AAUUCUCAACCUUUUCUGGCUUUCUAUAUAAUGUUAGCCAUUUUGGUUUGGAUUUGUUGGAGGUUGCUGGCUUCAAUCUAAAGCCAGCUCUUCUUAAAUACAUUAGCAUAGUCUUUGCUGAAUUAUCCUUGGUGUGAUAAAAUUAUCUGUCAUGGAGAAAUCAGUUCUGGGUUCACAGAUUUUGCUUCUAAUAGUCCUUUUAGUGGACAGCAUGUACAA